Long non-coding RNA from Arachis duranensis, 736 nucleotides. RefSeq lists it as uncharacterized. Lineage: Eukaryota; Viridiplantae; Streptophyta; Magnoliopsida; Fabales; Fabaceae. The record is from RefSeq and is a predicted model, not a curated record. The transcript has 3 exons.
CGCCUUUGCGAAUCAAAUGCCCUCAGUCUCUCACCACUCACCAACCCUAGCUUCUUCAAGAAUUCAGAACCCAAACCAAAAACCUAGCCUCUUCAAUGGAUUCGACGCCGCCGCUUGUCGUUGUAGGUGCCUCCGCAGCCUCCUCCUCCCCCCUGUUCCAAACCAAAUCCCUAGAUCGGCACGUCGACAUCGCGUCCUCUUCUAGUUUCGUUGUUCGAGGCUUCGAGUUCGAGAUGCUUGCCGUGGUGUCGCCGCGUCAUCUUGCUCUCAAUUGAAGUUAUUGAUUUGAAGGUUAGGGUGAUUAUUUGUUCUGGAACUGAGUCUGUUGUUUCAGUGCCUGAUGGGAAAGUAAGUUCUCCCCAUCCUCCAUUGGAUUCGUCCUGCUCGUCGCCCUCUCGAUGAAUCUCCCCGAAAUUCUUUGCUGAGAACAAGAACAUUGCAGGAUUUGAUAAUGUAGGAGUGGCGUGUCUGAUUUUUAUGUUUCUAUUAAUUUUGUGAUUUGUUUGUAUUUAUAUUAUGUGGAUUUCACAUCAGCCAGGAAAAUCUCUUUAUACUACUGUUAGAGAGCUCGUGGAGAACUCGCUUGACUCAGCGCAAUCGAUAUCGGAGCUUCCGGUAGUUGAGAUAACCAUGUGAGUUUGCAUUUGAAAGUACAGUGAACUAGUAAAUGAUUGAUUGUUCCACACUGACAUGGUUGUUGUAGUGAGGAGAUAAAGAAAAGCAAAUUUAAUUCUAU